RNAcentral lists this ribosomal RNA (465 nucleotides) under uncultured bacterium. Its description in RNAcentral is "partial 16S ribosomal RNA". It matches the Rfam family "Bacterial small subunit ribosomal RNA", at positions 338 to 795 of the family's 1533-position model. The record is from RNAcentral.
CCUACGGGUGGCUGCAGUAGGGAAUCUUCCACAAUGGACGAAAGUCUGAUCGAGCAACGUCGCGUGAGUGAAGACGGGUUUAGGCUCGUUAAGCUCUGUUGGUCGGGAAGAAAGAUACAGGUCGUAACUGGCCUUUAUUUUACGUUAAUUACUUAGAUAGUCACGACUAAUUACGUGCCAGGAGCUGCUGUAGUACGUAGGUGGCAAGCGUUGUCCUGUUUUAUUGGGCGUAAAGGUAGUCCAGGCGGUUCAAUAAUUCUGAUGUUAAGGCCUUCGGCUCAACCGGAGAAUUGCAUCAGUAACUGUGGAACUUGAGUGCAGAAGAGGAGAGUGGAACUCCAGGUGUAGCGGUGGAAUGCGUAGAUAUAUGGCAGAACACCAGUGGCGAAGGCGGCUCUCUGGUCUGCAACUGACGCUGAGGCUCGAAAGCAUGGGUAGCGAACAGGAUUAGAUACCCCUGUAGUC